Long non-coding RNA from Humulus lupulus (European hop), 595 nucleotides. RefSeq lists it as uncharacterized. NCBI's taxonomy places the organism in Eukaryota, Viridiplantae, Streptophyta, Magnoliopsida, Rosales, Cannabaceae. The transcript has 2 exons. The record is from RefSeq and is a predicted model, not a curated record.
GCAGAAUGCUGUAAAUACUGCAUCUUCUUAACCCUUUCUUCUGUCCUUUUUUCAAAACUCACUAUAGCUUCCCUUUCUAUCGAUGGUUUUGCAUAGGGAAAUAACGUUAUGCUAGCAUGAUGUAGUUCACAGAAUGUUGUAAAUGCCGCAUCUUCAUAACACUUUCUUCCGUCCUUUUUUCAAACCUCAGUGGAACUUCCCUUUCUAUUGAUGGAUCUGCGUAGCCAAAGAACAUCACAAUUUGUUUCAAAGGUUUUUUCCCAGGGUUGGGGUUUGCAGCUUGGGAGGUUUGGCCUUGCUAUGCAACUACAAGAAUUGGUGAUUUCGUUGUUGCAAGUGCAACUUUAUUGUACUGUGGCAAUCCUCCAGUUUUGAGCAUGUGUUGGACCUGGUUGUAUAUAGCUCUACAUUCUGCAAUGGAUCAUAGUCUCAUUGUGAGGAUAUUUUUUAGCAUUCUCAGCCCUUGGUCUUUUGCUGCCGCCCCUUUGAGAUUGUUGAUGCUCUGCUUUCCUUUUAUCCUUUCUUUCCUUGAGUGGUGGAUUUCCCUCAGCUGGUUUGUAAUCAAAGCAGCUCUUUUGGCUUCCUCUUCUUUGAU